UACGUAGGGAGCAAGCGUUAUCCGGAUUUAUUGGGUGUAAAGGGUGCGUAGACGGGAAGACAAGUUAGUUGUGAAAUCCCUCGGCUUAACUGAGGAACUGCAACUAAAACUAUCUUUCUUGAGUGCUGGAGAGGAAAGUGGAAUUCCUAGUGUAGCGGUGAAAUGCGUAGAUAUUAGGAGGAACACCAGUGGCGAAGGCGACUUACUGGACUGUAACUGACGCUGAGGCAUGAGAGCAUGGGGAGCAAACAGG
Molecule: ribosomal RNA, 253 nt
Filed under: uncultured Eubacteriales bacterium
Lineage: Bacteria; Bacillati; Bacillota; Clostridia; Eubacteriales
Description: uncultured Clostridiales bacterium partial 16S ribosomal RNA
Rfam family: Bacterial small subunit ribosomal RNA
Source: RNAcentral